Long non-coding RNA from Sphaeramia orbicularis (orbiculate cardinalfish), 303 nucleotides. RefSeq lists it as uncharacterized. Lineage: Eukaryota; Metazoa; Chordata; Actinopteri; Kurtiformes; Apogonidae. The record is from RefSeq and is a predicted model, not a curated record. The transcript has 3 exons.
AUAAAACAUGUGACCAACUCUGCUGUAGGCUCUAGAAUUCAAGGAUCCAUUUAGAAUAGAUCAUGGUUUAGAUGAGUGGUGCAUUGAUGUUGACGUACUGAGAUACUAGAAUUAUAGAAUGUGUUAUGAUCAAUCCCAUGAAGCUGAUUUAGGUGUGUCUUUGGGUCGUCUUGCACUUAUUCAGUUUCAUUUAUCAGGAGAUGAAACUGAAUAACAGAAAUAGUAGAGGGUUGUUUUACAUUGAGGGAGAGGGAGCUGAGCUUUGGUGUGCUCCAACCCAAUUUAACCUACGUAUGUAUUACA